This 253-nucleotide ribosomal RNA is filed under the name uncultured bacterium. RNAcentral describes it as "partial 16S ribosomal RNA". It matches the Rfam family "Bacterial small subunit ribosomal RNA", at positions 524 to 776 of the family's 1533-position model. The record is from RNAcentral.
UACGUAGGGCGCAAGCGUUGUCCGGAAUUAUUGGGCGUAAAGAGCUCGUAGGCGGCUUGUCACGUCGGGUGUGAAAGCCCGGGGCUUAACCCCGGGUCUGCAUUCGAUACGGGCUAGCUAGAGUGUGGUAGGGGAGAUCGGAAUUCCUGGUGUAGCGGUGAAAUGCGCAGAUAUCAGGAGGAACACCGGUGGCGAAGGCGGAUCUCUGGGCCAUUACUGACACUGAGGAGCGAAAGCGUGGGGAGCGAACAGG